RNAcentral lists this non-coding RNA (24 nucleotides) under Arabidopsis thaliana (thale cress). The record is from RNAcentral. Lineage: Eukaryota; Viridiplantae; Streptophyta; Magnoliopsida; Brassicales; Brassicaceae.
ACUUUAGCGCCAUCAUCUUCCGUC